UGGGGAAUUUUGGACAAUGGGGGCAACCCUGAUCCAGCAAUGCCGCGUGUGUGAAGAAGGCCUUCGGGUUGUAAAGCACUUUUGUCAGGGAAGAAACGGUGAAGGCUAAUAUCCUUUGCUAAUGACGGUACCUGAAGAAUAAGGACCGGCUAACUACGUGCCAGCAGCCGCGGUAAUACGUAGGGUCCAAGCGUUAAUCGGAAUUACUGGGCGUAAAGCGUGCGCAGGCGGUUGUGUAAGUCAGAUGUGAAAUCCCCGGGCUUAACCUGGGAAUGGCAUUUGAGACUGCACGCCUACAGUGUGUCAGAGGGGGGUAGAAUUCCACGUGUAGCAGUGAAAUGCGUAGAGAUGUGGAGGCAUACCGAUGGCGAAGGCAGCCCCCUGGGAUAACACUGACGCUCAUGCACGAAAGCGUGGGGAGCAAACA
This 427-nucleotide ribosomal RNA is filed under the name uncultured bacterium. RNAcentral describes it as "bacterial SSU rRNA". It matches the Rfam family "Bacterial small subunit ribosomal RNA", at positions 355 to 774 of the family's 1533-position model. The record is from RNAcentral.